UACUCGAGUGGCGAACGGGUGAGUAACACGUGGGUGAUCUGCCCUGCACUUUGGGAUAAGCCUGGGAAACUGGGUCUAAUACCGGAUAGGACCACACACUUCAUGGUGAGUGGUGCAAAGCUUUUGCGGUGUGGGAUGAGCCCGCGGCCUAUCAGCUUGUUGGUGGGGUAAUGGCCCACCAAGGCGACGACGGGUAGCCGGCCUGAGAGGGUGACCGGCCACACUGGGACUGAGAUACGGCCCAGACUCCUACGGGAGGCAGCAGUGGGGAAUAUUGCACAAUGGGCGCAAGCCUGAUGCAGCGACGCCGCGUGAGGGAUGACGGCCUUCGGGUUGUAAACCUCUUUCAGUAGGGACGAAGCGAAAGUGACGGUACCUACAGAAGAAGGACCGGCCAACUACGUGCCAGCAGCCGCGGUAAUACGUAGGGUCCGAGCGUUGUCCGGAAUUACUGGGCGUAAAGAGCUCGUAGGUGGUUUGUCGCGUUGUUCGUGAAAACUCACAGCUUAACUGUGGGCGUGCGGGCGAUACGGGCAGACUAGAGUACUGCAGGGGAGACUGGAAUUCCUGGUGUAGCGGUGGAAUGCGCAGAUAUCAGGAGGAACACCGGUGGCGAAGGCGGGUCUCUGGGCAGUAACUGACGCUGAGGAGCGAAAGCGUGGGUAGCGAACAGGAUUAGAUACCCUGGUAGUCCACGCCGUAAACGGUGGGUACUAGGUGUGGGUUUCCUUCCUUGGGAUCCGUGCCGUAGCUAACGCAUUAAGUACCCCGCCUGGGGAGUACGGUCGCAAGACUAAAACUCAAAGGAAUUGACGGGGGCC
Molecule: ribosomal RNA, 821 nt
Filed under: Mycobacterium sp. ITM090653
Lineage: Bacteria; Bacillati; Actinomycetota; Actinomycetes; Mycobacteriales; Mycobacteriaceae
Description: bacterial SSU rRNA
Rfam family: Bacterial small subunit ribosomal RNA
Source: RNAcentral